CCUACGGGUGGCAGCAGUGAGGAAUAUUGGUCAAUGGACGAGAGUCUGAACCAGCCAAGUAGCGUGAAGGAUGACUGCCCUAUGGGUUGUAAACUUCUUUUAUAAAGGAAUAAAACGAGGCACGUGUGCCUUUUUGCAUGUACUUUAUGCAUAAGGGUCGGCUAACUCCGUGCCAGCAGCCGCGGUAAUACGGAGGAUCCGAGAGUUAUCCGGAUUGAUUGGGUGUAAAGGGAGCGUAGAUGGGUUGUUAAGUCAGUUGUGAAAGUUUGCGGCUCAACCGUAAAAUUGCAAUUGAUACUGGCAGUCUUGAGUACAGUUGAGGUAAGCGGAAUUCGUGGUGUAGCGGUAAAAUGCUUAGAUAUCACGAAGAACCCCGAUUGCGAAGGCAGCUUACUAAACUGUGACUGACAUUGAUGCUCGAAAGUGUGGGUAUCAAACAGGAUUAGAUACCCGAGUAGUC
Molecule: ribosomal RNA, 460 nt
Filed under: uncultured bacterium
Lineage: Bacteria
Description: partial 16S ribosomal RNA
Rfam family: Bacterial small subunit ribosomal RNA
Source: RNAcentral